CUGCCUGUAAGACUGGGAUAACUCCGGGAAACCGGGGCUAAUACCGGAUGCUUGUUUGAACCGCAUGGUUCAAAUAUAAAAGGUGGCUUUUAGCUACCACUUACAGAUGGACCCGCGGCGCAUUAGCUAGUUGGUGAGGUAACGGCUCACCAAGGCAACGAUGCGUAGCCGACCUGAGAGGGUGAUCGGCCACACUGGGACUGAGACACGGCCCAGACUCCUACGGGAGGCAGCAGUAGGGAAUCUUCCGCAAUGGACGAAAGUCUGACGGAGCAACGCCGCGUGAGUGAUGAAGGUUUUCGGAUCGUAAAACUCUGUUGUUAGGGAAGAACAAGUACCGUUCGAAUAGGGCGGUACCUUGACGGUACCUGACCAGAAAGCCACGGCUAA
RNAcentral lists this ribosomal RNA (390 nucleotides) under Bacillus sp. T2(2014). Its description in RNAcentral is "bacterial SSU rRNA". It matches the Rfam family "Bacterial small subunit ribosomal RNA", at positions 126 to 500 of the family's 1533-position model. Lineage: Bacteria; Bacillati; Bacillota; Bacilli; Caryophanales; Bacillaceae. The record is from RNAcentral.